RNAcentral lists this transfer RNA (84 nucleotides) under Methanomicrobiales archaeon. RNAcentral describes it as "tRNA-Ser". It matches the Rfam family "tRNA". Rfam says of the family: Transfer RNA (tRNA) molecules are approximately 80 nucleotides in length. Their secondary structure includes four short double-helical elements and three loops (D, anti-codon, and T loops). Lineage: Archaea; Methanobacteriati; Methanobacteriota; Methanomicrobia; Methanomicrobiales. The record is from RNAcentral.
GCUGAGGUAGUCUAGCGGUAAGGCGCAGGCCUGGAAAGCCUGUGGGGCGUUUGCCUCUCGAGGGUUCAAUUCCCUCCCUCAGCG